Molecule: ribosomal RNA, 224 nt
Filed under: Rhodococcus sp. KBW08
Lineage: Bacteria; Bacillati; Actinomycetota; Actinomycetes; Mycobacteriales; Nocardiaceae
Description: partial 23S ribosomal RNA
Rfam family: Bacterial large subunit ribosomal RNA
Source: RNAcentral
UGAGUAGUGGCGAGCGAAAUCGGAGGAGGCUAAACCUGGUCUGUGUGAUACCCGGCAGGGGUUGCAGGUCAGGGGUUGUGGGACGUGUCUGGGUCGUCUGCCGGCGGUCCGACGUGUACGUGUUCUGGUAGUCGAAGUCGUGUUGAGUGCGACGGCGUAGAGGGUGUGACCCCCGUAGACGAAACUGGUUCAUGGCGUGACGCUGUUCCCGAGUAGUACCGGAC